Molecule: ribosomal RNA, 847 nt
Filed under: Purpurepithecium murisporum
Lineage: Eukaryota; Fungi; Ascomycota; Dothideomycetes; Gloniales; Gloniaceae
Description: eukaryotic LSU rRNA
Rfam family: Eukaryotic large subunit ribosomal RNA
Source: RNAcentral
CCUUAGUAACGGCGAGUGAAGCGGCAACAGCUCAAAUUUGAAAUCUGGCCCUUGUGGGGUCCGAGUUGUAAUUUGCAGAGGAUGCUUCGGCGUCGGCCCGGGCCUAAGUUCCCUGGAACGGGACGCCUUAGAGGGUGAGAGCCCCGUACGCGGCCUGGCGUCUUCGCCGCUAGAAGCUCCUUCGACGAGUCGAGUUGUUUGGGAAUGCAGCUCUAAAUGGGAGGUAAAUUUCUCCUAAAGCUAAAUACUGGCCAGAGACCGAUAGCGCACAAGUAGAGUGAUCGAAAGAUGAAAAGCACCUUGAAAAGGGAGUCAAAAAGCACGUGAAAUUGUUGAAAGGGAAGCGCUUGCGGUUAGACCCUUUUGCGGGUGCUCAUCCGGGCUUUUGCCCGGUGCACUCUCCCGCGAUCGGGCCAGCAUCGGUUCGCGCGGCCGGAUAAAAGCUCCGGGAAUGUGGCUCCUCUCGGGGAGUGUUAUAGCCCGUUGCGUAAUGCGGCCAGCCGGGACCGAGGUCCGCGCUUUGGCAAGGAUGCUGGCGUAAUAGCUGCAAGCGGCCCGUCUUGAAACACGGACCAAGGAGUCUAACAUCUAUGCGAGUGUUCGGGUGUCAAACCCGUGCGCGUAAUGAAAGUGAACGGAGGCGGGAGCCAUUUGGCGCACCGUCGACCGAUCCUGAUGUCUUCGGAUGGAUUUGAGUAGGAGCAUAGCUGUUGGGACCCGAAAGAUGGUGAACUAUGCCUGAAUAGGGUGAAGCCAGAGGAAACUCUGGUGGAGGCUCGCAGCGGUUCUGACGUGCAAAUCGAUCGUCAAAUUUGGGCAUAGGGGCGAAAGACUAAUCGAACUAUCU